Non-coding RNA from Hippopotamus amphibius kiboko, 527 nucleotides. The record is from the annotation of a RefSeq genome assembly. NCBI's taxonomy places the organism in Eukaryota, Metazoa, Chordata, Mammalia, Artiodactyla, Hippopotamidae.
AUGUAUCUUAAGGUGAAAAUUCCCCAGCAGCAAGACAAGGCGUCAUGAAGAGGCUAGUAGGCACCGUGCUGGGACUUUUGUUUGCCCAGGUUUGCCGUGUGCAAGGGGUGAAUGUGGAGCAGAGUCCCCCAGCCCUGAGUCUCCAGGAGGGAGCCAGCUCCAUGCUGUGGUGUAAUUUUUCCACCUCCUCACAGAAUGUGCAUUGGUAUCGUCAGAACCCUGAGGGCCGCCUCAUCCACCUGUUUUCCAUUCCUUCAGGGACAAGGCAGAAUGGAAGAUUAAAUGCCACGACAGCCCCUAAAGAACGCCGCAGCUCAUUGUACAUUUCCUCUUCCCAGACCACAGACUCAGCCACUUACUUCUGUGCUGUGCAGCACGGUGCUUCCCAGGCACCUGCAGCCUGUGUACGAACCCUCAGCGGGGCUCAGCCCCUCCUCCAGCCACAAUCACACCAUGAGGCCACCACAUGGCAUUUGCAUCACUUAUUAUUCCUUAUGGGUAGAGUUUUAACCACAUACACUUUUUGA